UAUGCUUGUCUCAAAGAUUAAGCCAUGCAUGUCUAAGUCCAAGCUGUGUUCACACGGCGAGACCGCGGACGGCUCAUUAAAUCAGUCGUGGUCCAAAUGGGCCAGUGCAAAUCCUACUUGGAUAACUGUGGUAAUUCCAGAGCUAAUACAUGCAACUGAUAUCCCGAAGGCGGUGUUUGGGCUUGCUUGCCUUGCGCUGCGCUGCUCUGACGGAUGCUUUUAUUAGACCAAGCCGCUGAGGACUUGAGGGUUCGCGCUCUCUUGUCUGACUCGUGUGAUGGUGACUCUGGAUAACCAAAUUCUGACAAGCGCACGUACUUCUCUUCUGAGCGAGACGGCGCUGCCACUUUCGAGUGUCUGCCUUAUCAGCUAUCAACCGUUCGUUAUGCGCGACCGAUGGCUUUGACGGGUAACGGGGAAUCAGGGUUCGAUUCCGGAGAGGCAGCCUGAGAGACGGCUACCACGUCCAAGGACGGCAGCAGGCACGCAAAUUACCCAAUCCCAGCAAAUGGGGGAGGUAGUGACGAAAUCUAACGAUGCGGGCGCCCUUUCUGGGGCCCCGCAAUCGGAAUGGGCACUUUCUAAACAACCUGUUGAGAACCUACUGAA
Molecule: ribosomal RNA, 609 nt
Filed under: Eulimnogammarus verrucosus
Lineage: Eukaryota; Metazoa; Arthropoda; Malacostraca; Amphipoda; Eulimnogammaridae
Description: SSU rRNA
Rfam family: Eukaryotic small subunit ribosomal RNA
Source: RNAcentral